AAUAUUGGAGUAAAAAGUUAUGCCCAAUUUACUUCAACAUAUCAGCCUGUCAACUAAGGGACUGUUGCGACCUUUUUUGUUUCCUUAGGGGUAUUUUCGUCUUUUCCUUCAUCUCACCUCAGCCACAACAUGUAAUAAAAUCAGUAUUUGGGCAAAAUACAUCACAAACUAAUCAAUUCCUCUCAAAAAUCCAACCCUAAUCCUUUCCCCAAAGAUUAAGAACUCAUCCCUAAGAUCAAGAAUUCCAGGAAAAGGAACAAGAUCCGGAUUCCAUCUUUCAAACUAAAUUAUCUAAGGAUUCUGAUACAUAGUCCUAGGGUCCCGUUAAGCAGUAGAUUGUCUUGUCACAAGUUCGCAGCUGGUGAGCCUCCCUUAUUUUGGAGGGCCUAAUGUAUAUGUCAUUGUUAUUUUAUUUUGAUUUAGGGUCUGACUGGGGGCCUUGUCCCAUUCUUUAGACAGAGAUUAUUUUCAGUUAGUAGAGAUUUUGCAGACAAGUGUUAGAUGUUGAUCUUUACGAAUUUAUUUCAGUAUUGAGUAGUUUGUAAUAAAAGUUCACCAUGAUUCCGUUGUAAUCAUUUUUCACAUUUUUUCUUUAUUGUA
Molecule: long non-coding RNA, 600 nt
Organism: Capsicum annuum
Lineage: Eukaryota; Viridiplantae; Streptophyta; Magnoliopsida; Solanales; Solanaceae
Exons: 2
Source: RefSeq, a predicted model, not a curated record